AGCGAACGCUGGCGGCAGGCUUAACACAUGCAAGUCGAGCGGGCGUAGCAAUACGUCAGCGGCAGACGGGNGAGUAACGCGUGGGGACAUACCUCUUGGUUCGGAACAACACAGGGAAACUUGUGCUAAUACCGGAUAAGCCCUUACGGGGAAAGAUUUAUCGCCGAGAGAUUGGCCCGCGUCUGAUUAGCUAGUUGGUGAGGUAACGGCUCACCAAGGCGACGAUCAGUAGCUGGUCUGAGAGGAUGAUCAGCCACAUUGGGACUGAGACACGGCCCAAACUCCUACGGGAGGCAGCAGUGGGGAAUAUUGGACAAUGGGCGCAAGCCUGAUCCAGCCAUGCCGCGUGAGUGAUGAAGGCCCUAGGGUUGUAAAGCUCUUUUACCCACGACGAUGAUGACGGUAGUGGGAGAAUAAGCCCCGGCUAACUUCGUGCCAGCAGCCGCCGU
This 449-nucleotide ribosomal RNA is filed under the name uncultured bacterium. RNAcentral's name for it is "bacterial SSU rRNA". It matches the Rfam family "Bacterial small subunit ribosomal RNA", at positions 29 to 521 of the family's 1533-position model. The record is from RNAcentral.